This 468-nucleotide ribosomal RNA is filed under the name uncultured bacterium. RNAcentral describes it as "partial 16S ribosomal RNA". It matches the Rfam family "Bacterial small subunit ribosomal RNA", at positions 28 to 507 of the family's 1533-position model. The record is from RNAcentral.
GACGAACGCUGGCGGCGUGCUUAACACAUGCAAGUCGAACGGAAAGGCCCUGCUUCUGUGGGGUGCUCGAGUGGCGAACGGGUGAGUAACACGUGAGUAACCUGCCCUCGACUUUGGGAUAACUUCAGGAAACUGGGGUUAAUACCGGCUAGGAGCUCCUGCUGCAUGGUGGGGGUUGGAAAGUUUCGGCGGUUGGGGAUGGACUCGCGGCUUAUCAGCUUGUUGGUGGGGUAGUGGCUUACCAAGGCUUUGACGGGUAGCCGGCCUGAGAGGGUGACCGGCCACAUUGGGACUGAGAUACGGCCCAGACUCCUACGGGAGGCAGCAGUGGGGAAUAUUGCACAAUGGGCGGAGGCCUGAUGCAGCAACGCCGCGUGCGGGAUGACGGCUUUCGGGUUGUAAACCGCUUUCGCCUGUGACGAAGCGUGAGUGACGGUAAUGGGUAAAGAAGCACCGGCUAACUACGUG